RNAcentral lists this ribosomal RNA (250 nucleotides) under uncultured bacterium. RNAcentral describes it as "partial 16S ribosomal RNA". It matches the Rfam family "Bacterial small subunit ribosomal RNA", at positions 524 to 773 of the family's 1533-position model. The record is from RNAcentral.
UACGUAGGUGGCAAGCGUUGUCCGGAUUUACUGGGUGUAAAGGGCGUGUAGCCGGGUCGGCAAGUCAGAUGUGAAAUCUGGAGGCUCAACCUCCAAACUGCAUUUGAAACUGUUGGUCUUGAGUAUCGGAGAGGUAAUCGGAAUUCCUAGUGUAGCGGUGAAAUGCGUAGAUAUUAGGAAGAACACCAGUGGCGAAGGCGGAUUACUGGACGACAACUGACGGUGAGGCGCGAAAGCGUGGGGAGCAAAC